UAGGGAAUUUUCCGCAAUGGGCGAAAGCCUGACGGAGCAACGCCGCGUGAGUGAGGACGGCCUUCGGGUUGUAAAAACUCUGUUCUUGAGGAAGAAUUCCUUCCAGGCGAACAGCCUGGAAGGUUGACGGUACUCAAGGAGAAAGCCCCGGCUAACUUCGUGCCAGCAGCCGCGGUAAUACGAAAGGGUGCAAGCGUUAAUCGGAAUUACUGGGCGUAAAGCGCGCGUAGGUGGUUUGUUAAGUUGGAUGUGAAAGCCCCGGGCUCAACCUGGGAACUGCAUCCAAAAACUGGCAAGCUAGAGUAUGGCAGAGGGUGGUGGAAUUUCCUGUGUAGCGGUGAAAUGCGUAGAUAUAGGAAGGAACACCAGUGGCGAAGGCGACCACCUGGGCUAAUACUGACACUGAGGUGCGAAAGCGUGGGGAGCAAACAGGAUUAGAUACCC
RNAcentral lists this ribosomal RNA (444 nucleotides) under uncultured bacterium. RNAcentral describes it as "bacterial SSU rRNA". It matches the Rfam family "Bacterial small subunit ribosomal RNA", at positions 355 to 787 of the family's 1533-position model. The record is from RNAcentral.